RNAcentral lists this ribosomal RNA (335 nucleotides) under uncultured bacterium. RNAcentral's name for it is "bacterial SSU rRNA". It matches the Rfam family "Bacterial small subunit ribosomal RNA", at positions 27 to 339 of the family's 1533-position model. The record is from RNAcentral.
GAACGAACGCUGGCGGCGUGCUUAACACAUGCAAGUCGAGCGAGAAAGGGGGAGCAAUCCCCUGAGUACAGCGGCGCACGGGUGAGUAACGCGUGGGUAAUCUGCCCCCCAGCCCGGGACUAACACCUCGGAAAGAAGGUGCUAAUACCGGAGUGACAUCGGCCUGGCGCAUGCCGGGGCUGAUCGAAGGCGGCCUCUGCUUGCAAGCUGUCACUGGGGGAUGAGCCUGCGUCCGAUUAGCUAGUUGGCGGGUAACGGCCCACCAAGGCGACGAUCGGUAGCCGGCCUGAGGAGGGUGACCGGCCACACUGGGACUGAGACACGGCCCAGACUCC